GGCUGUUAGAGGCUGUAGGAAGAGAGCUCUAGGAUAUGAGGACAUGAGUUCUAAAGGACAAUCAGAACAGUAGAAAGGGUAAACAGAGAACAGAACUUCCAGACAAAGGAAAUAGUAUGCUCGAAGGCCCAGGGGUGGGAGCAAAGCUGAAGGUCUGGAAACACAUGUACUUGCAGAUAAUCUUUCAGUGUCUUGAUUGCUAGCAGAUCAUUCUCCUGCCUUCUUUCUAAGUCAGUGGCCUCUCUCUUCAAAUCAUCCCUGUUUGUGUGCUGAGCAAUGAAUGACUGAGACAAGAAAUGAUCCCAGGUGACUAAAUAAAGAAUGAAUAAUUUAUGAGUCAAGAGUCCUUCCUUUACAACUAAAGAGAUCCUUGAUGACAUCAAAGGCUUCAAGAAUCAGAGAAAGAGAAUGCAUGUAUUUUCUGCGCAGUCUGAGAGAGAGUAGCAUAUCUCAAUCAAUUAAGACCUUUUGUAAUGAAUUCUAUUUGGUAUCUAAUAAACCAAAUAAUGUAAUACUGAUGUACAUUCUCAGUGCUCCAUGGGCAGCCACAAUGGUGUGUAAAAUAAAGAAAUUAAGUGUGCAACUCUCUCUUCUUUUUUUUUUUUUUUUGAUACUUUUCUUCUUGCCCUUCUCCUUCCCAAACUCCCAAAACUAUAGAAAAUGUUAACAGUUAAG
This 675-nucleotide long non-coding RNA is filed under the name Equus caballus (horse). Its description in RNAcentral is "lncRNA (ENSECAG00000046797.1)". The record is from RNAcentral. Lineage: Eukaryota; Metazoa; Chordata; Mammalia; Perissodactyla; Equidae.